Molecule: ribosomal RNA, 798 nt
Filed under: marine metagenome
Description: bacterial SSU rRNA
Rfam family: Bacterial small subunit ribosomal RNA
Source: RNAcentral
CGCCGCGUGGAGGAUGACGCAUUUCGGUGUGUAAACUCCUUUUAUAUGUCAAGAAAAUGACGGUAGCAUAUGAAUAAGCACCGGCUAACUCCGUGCCAGCAGCCGCGGUAAUACGGAGGGUGCAAGCGUUAUUCGGAAUCACUGGGCGUAAAGGACGCGUAGGCGGGUUAGAAAGUCAGGUGUGAAAGCCUACAGCUCAACUGUAGAACUGCACUUGAAACUCCUAACCUAGAGUAUGGGAGGGGGAGAUGGAAUUAGUGGUGUAGGGGUAAAAUCCGUAGAUAUCACUAGGAAUACCGAAAGCGAAGGCGAUCUCCUGGAACAUUACUGACGCUAAGGCGUGAAAGCGUGGGGAGCAAACAGGAUUAGAUACCCUGGUAGUCCACGCCCUAAACGAUGUUCACUAGUCGUCGGGAUGCUAGUCAUCUCGGUGAUGCACUUAACAGAUUAAGUGAACCGCCUGGGGAGUACGGUCGCAAGAUUAAAACUCAAAGGAAUAGACGGGGACCCGCACAAGUGGUGGAGCAUGUGGUUUAAUUCGAAGAUACGCGAAGAACCUUACCUAGCCUUGACAUUGAUGGAAUCUUUCAGAGAUGAGAGAGUACCCUUCGGGGAGCCUGAAAACAGGUGCUGCACGGCUGUCGUCAGCUCGUGUCGUGAGAUGUUGGGUUAAGUCCCGCAACGAGCGCAACCCUCGUCCUUAGUUGCUAGCAGUUCGGCUGAGCACUCUAAGGAGACUGCCUUCGCAAGGAGGAGGAAGGUGAGGACGACGUCAAGUCAUCAUGGCCCUUAUGGCUA